This 83-nucleotide transfer RNA is filed under the name Annulohypoxylon stygium. Its description in RNAcentral is "tRNA-Ser". It matches the Rfam family "tRNA". From Rfam's summary of the family: Transfer RNA (tRNA) molecules are approximately 80 nucleotides in length. Their secondary structure includes four short double-helical elements and three loops (D, anti-codon, and T loops). Further hydrogen bonds mediate the characteristic L-shaped molecular structure. tRNAs have two regions of fundamental functional importance: the anti-codon, which is responsible for specific mRNA codon recognition, and the 3' end, to which the tRNAs corresponding amino acid is attached (by aminoacyl-tRNA synthetases). tRNAs cope with the degeneracy of the genetic code in two manners: having more than one tRNA (with a specific anti-codon) for a particular amino acid; and 'wobble' base-pairing, i.e. permitting non-standard base-pairing at the 3rd anti-codon position. The record is from RNAcentral. Lineage: Eukaryota; Fungi; Ascomycota; Sordariomycetes; Xylariales; Hypoxylaceae.
GGAAAAGUAUCCAUAGGUAAGGUAAGAUAUUUGCUAAAUAUUGUGUUUUGUUACAUCUGUGGGUUCGAAUCCCUCCUUUUCCG